RNAcentral lists this long non-coding RNA (451 nucleotides) under Brassica napus (rape). Its description in RNAcentral is "long non-coding RNA (BNAP_LNC027200)". The record is from RNAcentral. Lineage: Eukaryota; Viridiplantae; Streptophyta; Magnoliopsida; Brassicales; Brassicaceae.
GAGGCGCCAAGAUUCCGGUCAAGUAACUAAGUAAGAGACUGUUAAACCGCACGUGCCAAACAACACGAGGAAAUAAUUCGGAAUUUUGUCAAUGCAAACGACGCAGUAUCAUUUCUACACGAUCUGCUGCGUCUCCGGCUACUUCUUGUACUCAUAAACUGUGCAGUUUUGAGUAUCAAAGGCAGUGUGCUUAUGCAUUACCAAAAAUUCAAAGCUGCCCGUAAAUGAACGUAAUGAUCUUGGAGCCACUGAUCUUUCCAUGUGUAUGCUCAUCAUUCAUCAAUAGCACAAUCAACGGACAAAAAUGCUCUUUUUAGUCUAAAUAUUGGUUUCAACCAUCAAACUAAGGUAAAUUCUUGAGGAUAAAUAAUAUCCUAAUCUAUCUUAUUAAAACUCAAGUACAAAAUUGGACUGUUUGGAGACUUGAAUAGGACUUUUAAAAAUUUGGAGU